Long non-coding RNA from Carassius carassius (crucian carp), 230 nucleotides. RefSeq lists it as uncharacterized. The record is from RefSeq and is a predicted model, not a curated record. Lineage: Eukaryota; Metazoa; Chordata; Actinopteri; Cypriniformes; Cyprinidae. The transcript is spliced from 2 exons.
UAAAAAUUGUGAGAUAUAAAAACUCAGAUAUAUAAAAGGUAUAAAGUCAAAAUUACAAGUAAAAAAAUGGCAAGAUCUAAUUCCUUAAGAAAAAAACUGAAUCUUGAAAAAAAGAAAUUGAAAAUUGAAAAAUCACAACUUACAAUUGCAAAAUAUUUCAUAAUUCUGAGAAAAAAGUUGAAAUUGCAAGAUAAAAAAAAAGUGACUUUUUAAGAAAAAAAACUAUAAAA